RNAcentral lists this ribosomal RNA (480 nucleotides) under uncultured bacterium. RNAcentral's name for it is "partial 16S ribosomal RNA". It matches the Rfam family "Bacterial small subunit ribosomal RNA", at positions 28 to 523 of the family's 1533-position model. The record is from RNAcentral.
GACGAACGCUGGCGGCGUGCUUAACACGUGCAAGUCGAACGAUGAAGUUCCUUCGGGAAUGGAUUAGUGGCGAACGGGUGAGGAACACGUGAGAAACCUGCCUUUCAUUUUGGGAUAACUCCGGGAAACCGGGGCUAAAACCGAAUACUCCGUCUCGGCGGCAUCGCGUAGCCGGGAAAAAAUUUUGAUGAAAGAUGGUCUCGCGGCCUAUCAGCUAGUUGGUGAGGUAAUGGCUCACCAAGGCAACGACGGGUAGCCGGCCUGAGAGGGCGGCCGGCCACACUGGGACUGAGACACGGCCCAGACUCCUACGGGAGGCAGCAGUGGGGAAUAUUGGGCAAUGGGCGCAAGCCUGACCCAGCGACGCCGCGUGAGGGAUGAAGGCCUUCGGGUUGUAAACCUCUCUCAGUAGGGAAGAAGCGAAAGUGACGGUACCUAAAGAAGAAGCACCGGCUAACUAUGUGCCAGCAGCCGCCGCCG